CCUCCGUUGGUGAACCAGCGGAGGGAUCAUUACCGAGUUUACAACUCCCAAACCCAAUGUGAACGUUACCAAACUGUUGCCUCGGCGGGAUCUCUGCCCCGGGUGCGUCGCAGCCCCGGACCAAGGCGCCCGCCGGAGGACCAACCAAAACUCUUUAUGUAUACCCCCUCGCGGGUUUUUUUACAAUCUGAGCCAUCUCGGCGCCCCUCGUGGGCGUUUCGAAAAUGAAUCAAAGCUUUCAACAACGGAUCUCUUGGUUCUG
RNAcentral lists this unclassified non-coding RNA (262 nucleotides) under plant metagenome. RNAcentral's name for it is "partial contains small subunit ribosomal RNA, internal transcribed spacer 1, and 5.8S ribosomal RNA". The record is from RNAcentral.